UACAGAGAGUGCAAGCGUUAAUCGGAAUCACUGGGCGUAAAGCGCGCGUAGGUGGAUAUCUAAGUCGGAUGUGAAAGCCCUGGGCUUAACCUAGGAACUGCAUCCGAUACUGGGUAACUAGAGUAUGGUAGAGGGAAGUGGAAUUUCCGGUGUAGCGGUGAAAUGCGUAGAUACCGGAAGGAACACCAGUGGCGAAGGCGACUUCCUGGACCAAUACUGACACUUAGGUGCGAAAGCGUGGGGAGCAAACAGG
RNAcentral lists this ribosomal RNA (253 nucleotides) under uncultured bacterium. RNAcentral's name for it is "partial 16S ribosomal RNA". It matches the Rfam family "Bacterial small subunit ribosomal RNA", at positions 524 to 776 of the family's 1533-position model. The record is from RNAcentral.